This 627-nucleotide long non-coding RNA is filed under the name Olea europaea subsp. europaea. Lineage: Eukaryota; Viridiplantae; Streptophyta; Magnoliopsida; Lamiales; Oleaceae. The record is from RNAcentral.
CUAUCACUACCGUAAUAAUUACGUUCAAAACUCAAGAAAGCCCCAAAGUAGAAACCUCAAAUCGGAAACCCCUGAAUCUGAAAACCCAUGAUAAACCCCAUUCUCGACUCCGACCUCGACGCCAACGUUCUUGUAGAGAGAAAACUUCACCCACCACGUUAAGGAGCCACUUCAACCAACAAAGAUGAAGACUACGAAAUUGAAAUGAGGCAGACAAUUCCCAUAGCCUAGGUGAAAACUUCUUGGUAGACUUGGUAGAUAUUCUCCUCAAAUUGAUCCCAAGUUACUAUAUAUUGAAAUAGAAGCUACUAAAUUAUUAGGUUUUAAGUUUUGUAUAAGUGUGAAUGCCUUCCGUACGCUGGCCAUGUUCGGUUCUCAAAUGUGAGACUAAGUUUCUACUUUGAAAACAUACCAAUUUUUAUACUUCAUCUGUAUUCUUUAAAAGUUGGUUUACUGGAAUUUUAUUUGCCGGUUUUGAUGUCCAAAUGGAUUGAUGCUAACAAAUUCACCAUAUUGAUUAAAUUAUGAUAUGAUGACCCAGACUCUCUUUUCUCUACUUGCUUCUUUCCUUUUUUUUUUUUUUUUUUAAUUGUGUCAAAUGCUUCUUUAAUUCGUUUCAAUUUGAAC